Non-coding RNA from Lagopus muta (rock ptarmigan), 1290 nucleotides. Lineage: Eukaryota; Metazoa; Chordata; Aves; Galliformes; Phasianidae. The record is from the annotation of a RefSeq genome assembly.
CCAGGUUCCCCCUUGACCCCCACCCCCCUCCUCCUCACCAUCCACCCUCCGUCGCGAGACGACUUCGAAGGUCCUUUCCGCAACGCUUCCAUCCUAUGCCAAACUCGCGGUCGCCGUCGACCCGGCGCGGUCACGUGGUACAAAAAUGGCGUCUCCAUCCCCGGAAGCGUCGUCACCGUCGUCAAGGCCGGAGCCGAAACGGUGGCCGAGAGUCGAGUCGGCGUCACCGAAAGCGAAUGGGAUUCUGGGUCACCUUCAGCUGCCUGGUGGAAGGGGAGAUGAGGAACACCAGCAAGAGGAUGGAGUGCGGAUUGGAGACCCCCGACCCGGCCGAAAUCACCGUCCGCGUCGUCCCCCCUUCCUUCGUGGAUAUUUUCACCAGCAAAUCAGCCAAGCUGACGUGUCGGGUGAGCAACAUGGGCAACGUGGAGAGCCUGGAUGUUUCGUGGUGGAAGGAGACGGGGGGCAAAACUGGAGACGGCCGUGGGGCAGCGGGUGCUGCAGAGCAAUGGGCUCUAUGCCGUGGAAGCCGUGGCUUCGGUGUGCGCCGACGAAUGGGAGCGAGGGGAGGAUUAUAUCUGCAAGGUGAACCACCAUGAGCUGCUGUUCCCGGUGGAGGAGAGGUUGAGGAAGACGGAGGCUCGAAACGCCCGCCCCCCGAAGGUCUACGUCUUCCCCCCCCCUCCGGAACAACUCAAUGACCGCCAAAGCCUCAGCAUCACCUGCCUGGCCCAAGGCUUCAACCCGCCCCAGUUUUUCAUCCGCUGGUUGAGGAACGGGGAGCCGCUGCCCCAAAGCCAUUCGUUGACCUCCAGCCCCAUGGCGGAGAGGCCCGAAAACGAAUCCUAUGUGGCCUACAGCGUUUUGAGGGUGGGGGCCGAAGAGUGGGGAGCUGGGAACGUCUACACGUGCGUGGUGGGGCACGAGGCCCUGGAGCUUCAGCUGGUGCAGAAGUCGGUGGAUAAGGCUUCGGAUCUCCUGGAUUCAGCGCUGGAAGCGGAGGAGGACGACGACGUCCGCAACCUUUGGGCCACGGCCUCCACCUUCAUCGUCCUCUUCAUCCUCAGCCUCUUCUACAGCGCCACCGUCACCCUCAUCAAGGUGAAAUGACCCCAAAUUUCGGAGCCGAUUUUCGCCGCCUCCCGACGUCGCCUCAAACAUCCCCAAAAUUCCCCAAUUUUGGGGUUUCUCACCCCAAAAAAGGCUGUAAAUAUUUCGUCCUCCAAACCCAACGAUUUCACCCCAAAAUCCGCGCGGUUUUCGUCCAAUAAAUCUCUCCUUUUUUUUUUU